GUGCAAACUAGCUCCAGAAACUCUACCCUGCAAAAGUCACAGGGUGGUGACUACAGACCUGCUAGUCCUCUAGAAGAGUUAUAGAGGCAAGGUGAAUUAAUGCAAGAUGUUGGAGAUUCUCUGGUAGACCAGAUCGUCUACUCUAGGACCUGUUGGGGAGCUGGAAAGAAGAAAUCAAAAGAAGGAAUUCUGGAAGCUUCAGUGAGAUAACCCAAUCACAAAAAGAUAAACAUGCUAGCCAUGUUUUGGCCCCUGCUUUAGGUACAGGACACAUGGAGAAGCCAAUGGUUCAAGUGACAGAAAUAUACAAUCAAGAGGCCCCCACUUUCUCCUCUCUGUCUGCUUCCUGACCUUGCCCUCAGGCAGGAUUCUCAGACAGUCUGGAUCCAUUUAAGCCACUUUCCCCUAACUCCUCCCACUUCAGCCCCUGGAAACUGCUCACCUGCUUUGUGUGAUGCUGUGACAAAUGAAAGCAGUUUUAUUUAUGACCAGCUUGGGAGACACUGUAUCCAAUUCAAAG
This 520-nucleotide long non-coding RNA is filed under the name Cricetulus griseus (Chinese hamster). RNAcentral's name for it is "lncRNA (ENSCGRG00015030599.1)". Lineage: Eukaryota; Metazoa; Chordata; Mammalia; Rodentia; Cricetidae. The record is from RNAcentral.